Kogia breviceps (pygmy sperm whale) is the source of this 1148-nucleotide non-coding RNA. The record is from RefSeq and is a predicted model, not a curated record. Lineage: Eukaryota; Metazoa; Chordata; Mammalia; Artiodactyla; Physeteridae.
CAGGCACUCAGCAGUGAGAGCAAGAAGUCCUAACCACUGGACUGCCAGGGAAUUCCCCCAUCAGGGACUUCCUUGGUGGCGCAGUGGUUAAGGAUCUGCCUGCCAAUGCAGGGGACACAGGUUGGAGCCCUGGUCCAGGAAGAUCCCACAUGCUGUGGAGCAACUAAGCCCGUGUGCCCCAACUACUGAGCCUGUGCUCUAGAGCCCACAAGCCACAACUACUGAGCCCAUGUGCCACAACUACUGAAGCCCACGCGCCUAGAGCCCAUGCUGCACAACAAGAGAAGCCAUUGCAAUGAGAAGCCUGCACACCACAACGAAGAGUAGCCUCCAUUCGCCACAACUAGAGAAAGCCCGCGCACAGCAGUGAAGACCCAACGCAUACACACACAAAAAGUCAUGUUGCACCAAGAGAACGCUGGAAGAUCUACCUGUGUUCUUUCCCCAAGAAAAUAUAUCCCAGCUUUGUUCUGUUCUAGUUAUAGUUUUAAAGCAGAAAUCACUCUAUGCAUUUCAUCCUAGAAAUCAAUAUGGGACACCAGAGAGAUCUGCACAUCUGUACAUCGAGGUGGUAGACUGGAACACACAGAGGAUGUGAAACGGUGGAGGCAAUGUCUGUGACCCAGUGCCCCAGCCCAGGUGGCUAAGCCUACAGCCUCAGAAAACCCAGGAACAGCACACUACUCUGGCCUCCUGGCCACAGCGGGGCCCAUAGGGAAUUGGGCAACAACACUGGUGGGGACACAACCUUGUCUCUCCAGCUGCAGCUGCACAUAUGACUCUGGCACCUGCCUGCUUUGGUGGCCUUCGGAAACCUUACGACCCCAGAAAGGCAUAGGUGCCCACAACCCUGGACGUGGUGGAGGCAUCGGCCAUCCCAGCACUCCCAGUGUUGAUGCCAGCUAUAGCAGCACCAGCAGCAGCAAGGCACCAGCAACCCCAGAGGCACAUCCAAAGACAAGGAGAGAACUAGAGACACAUCUGGCAGUGGCAGUGUAAGGUGGAAAGUGUAGAUUCUCAAAUACAGCCAAAGACGGCACAGGUAAGUGGAACCAAAAAUUUGUGCUGUAGCGCCACCUACUGAAAAGCAAAAGAAAGGUUUCUAAUUACCAACCUGUUGAAUGGUUAGAAUCGAAGUUAAAAAAUUU